This 465-nucleotide ribosomal RNA is filed under the name uncultured Saprospiraceae bacterium. RNAcentral's name for it is "bacterial SSU rRNA". It matches the Rfam family "Bacterial small subunit ribosomal RNA", at positions 28 to 505 of the family's 1533-position model. Lineage: Bacteria; Pseudomonadati; Bacteroidota; Saprospiria; Saprospirales; Saprospiraceae. The record is from RNAcentral.
GAUGAACGCUAGCGGGAGGCUUAAUACAUGCAAGUCGAGGGGUAACAUUAAUGUUUACAUUAGAUGACGACCGGCGCACGGGUGAGUAACGCGUACAUAUCUACCUUCAAGACAGGGAUAGGCUUUGGAAACGAAGAUUAAUACCUGAUAGUAUCGCAAGAUUAAAGAUUCGUCGCUUGAAGAUGGGUGUGCGUCCCAUUAGCUAGUUGGUAAGGUAACGGCUUACCAAGGCUACGAUGGGUAGGGGGCGUGAGAGCGUGACCCCCCACACGGGUACUGAGACACGGACCCGACUCCUACGGGAGGCAGCAGUAAGGAAUAUUGGACAAUGGGCGGAAGCCUGAUCCAGCCAUCCCGCGUGGAGGAUGACGGCCCUAUGGGUUGUAAACUCCUUUUAGACAGGAAGAAUAGCUAAUAUUUAUAUUGGUAUGACGGUACUGUCAGAAUAAGCACCGGCUAACUCCG